UCAUCGAAAAGCUAAGAAAUACCGAUGAAAAACCGGAACAUCGAAAAGAAGAAAAAAUAAUUCACCUAAAAAUCUGAAAACGCAUGCAGAAAAAAAUAAAAGAACAAAAUCCAAAGAAAAUACUCAAAACGCUACACGCGACGGCGGCUGAGAACGCGUCAAGCGGCGUCGCAUGGGAGUGAUCGUUAGGAGGCUUUCGAAGGAGCGUUCGCCAACUAGUUUCUCUCCUUUGUACCAUUUCAGUUUCUCAUGCUGUCCAUUAAAAUUUGUGCAGGGUAAAGAGCUACAUCCAGAAAGUCAAGAGAAAGAAGUAGUAGUUGUAUAAUGGAGAAUGCGAGAGAAAAAUGACAUCUAGCUUCUUGAUGUCGUAUUUGAAGUAACUCCUGCAUACGAGCGGAUCAGAACAAAGUUUGAUUGGGAAGUCCAGAAUGUAUCCUUGUACAUGUCAUUAGCAGCAGUGUCCCACUAAUCCGGGACGUGUUUAAAAGACAUCAAGCCUGAGCCUAGUCAGGUUCGGAAUCAGCAGCUUGCAGGUUUAAUCAAUCGGAGAUAAAUUUUCCUGACGCCUUCCAUUAUCAAAACUCAUCACCAUUUGUUUGAUAGCAGGUUCAUAUGUUCCCCGCAAAAAAGCAAGCCCAUAUAACUAUCCUUGCUUAUUUAACUGACUGUCCCCCUCU
This 677-nucleotide long non-coding RNA is filed under the name Hordeum vulgare. Its description in RNAcentral is "long non-coding RNA (HVUL_LNC014016)". Lineage: Eukaryota; Viridiplantae; Streptophyta; Magnoliopsida; Poales; Poaceae. The record is from RNAcentral.